AUUGAACGCUGGCGGCAGGCCUAACACAUGCAAGUCGAGCGGAUGAAGGGAGCUUGCUCCUGGAUUCAGCGGCGGACGGGUGAGUAAUGCCUAGGAAUCUGCCUGGUAGUGGGGGAUAACGUCCGGAAACGGGCGCUAAUACCGCAUACGUCCUGAGGGAGAAAGUGGGGGAUCUUCGGACCUCACGCUAUCAGAUGAGCCUAGGUCGGAUUAGCUAGUUGGUGGGGUAAAGGCCUACCAAGGCGACGAUCCGUAACUGGUCUGAGAGGAUGAUCAGUCACACUGGAACUGAGACACGGUCCAGACUCCUACAGGAGGCAGCAGUGGAGAAUAUUGGACAAUGGGCGAAAGCCUGAUCCAGCCAUGCCGCGUGUGUGAAGAAGGUCUUCGGAUUGUAAAGCACUUUAGGUUGGGAGGAAGGGCAGUAAGUUAAUACCUUGCUGUUUUGACGUUACCAACAGAAUAAGCACCGGCUAACUUCGUG
Molecule: ribosomal RNA, 484 nt
Filed under: uncultured bacterium
Lineage: Bacteria
Description: partial 16S ribosomal RNA
Rfam family: Bacterial small subunit ribosomal RNA
Source: RNAcentral